UUUUCAGUUGAUGGUGUUUUGUUGCCACUUGUGCGUGUGACCCACCAAUGUUUGCACACAUAUGCAUUCAUGCACAUACAGAAACACACCCACCUACACACACACAAACAGACACACACACACAUGUACACCCACUCA
Alosa sapidissima (American shad) is the source of this 138-nucleotide long non-coding RNA. RefSeq lists it as uncharacterized. Lineage: Eukaryota; Metazoa; Chordata; Actinopteri; Clupeiformes; Clupeidae. The transcript has 3 exons. The record is from RefSeq and is a predicted model, not a curated record.